RNAcentral lists this transfer RNA (74 nucleotides) under Chloroflexota bacterium. RNAcentral describes it as "Chloroflexi bacterium (groundwater metagenome) tRNA-Trp". It matches the Rfam family "tRNA". Rfam says of the family: Transfer RNA (tRNA) molecules are approximately 80 nucleotides in length. Their secondary structure includes four short double-helical elements and three loops (D, anti-codon, and T loops). Further hydrogen bonds mediate the characteristic L-shaped molecular structure. tRNAs have two regions of fundamental functional importance: the anti-codon, which is responsible for specific mRNA codon recognition, and the 3' end, to which the tRNAs corresponding amino acid is attached (by aminoacyl-tRNA synthetases). tRNAs cope with the degeneracy of the genetic code in two manners: having more than one tRNA (with a specific anti-codon) for a particular amino acid; and 'wobble' base-pairing, i.e. permitting non-standard base-pairing at the 3rd anti-codon position. RNAcentral also lists the same sequence under 1 other name. The record is from RNAcentral. Lineage: Bacteria; Bacillati; Chloroflexota.
AGGUGAGUAGCUCAAUUUGGCAGAGCACCGCUCUCCAAAAGCGGGGGUUGGGGGUUCAAGUCCCUCCUCACCUG